Molecule: unclassified non-coding RNA, 263 nt
Filed under: uncultured fungus
Lineage: Eukaryota; Fungi
Description: sequence contains ITS2
Rfam family: 5.8S ribosomal RNA (bases 1-52)
Source: RNAcentral
AACGCACAUUGCGCCCUUUGGUAUUCCGAAGGGCAUGCCUGUUCGAGCGUCAUUUAGCCAAUCAAGCUUAAGCUUGGUUUUGGGUGUGUAGGUUCCUUUAUACGAGAACCUUGCCUGUAACAUAUAGGUUGAUAAUUCUCCAAGUCUUGAGCGUAGCAAAAAAAUUAAUUUCGCGUUUUAGAUGAUGAGAAGCAUCUCGGGCCUUAAAGAAAAAAUUUCUAAAUUUUGACCUCGGAUCAGGUAGGGAUACCCGCUGAACUUAA